Molecule: ribosomal RNA, 516 nt
Filed under: uncultured bacterium
Lineage: Bacteria
Description: bacterial SSU rRNA
Rfam family: Bacterial small subunit ribosomal RNA
Source: RNAcentral
AGAGUUUGAUUAUGGCUCAGGAUGAACGCUGGCGGCGUGCCUAACACAUGCAAGUCGAGCGGAGAUAUAUGUCUAGGAGACUUCGGUCAAAUUAAUUAUAUCUUAGCGGCGGACGGUGAGUAACGCGUGAGCAACCUGCCUUCACGGGGGGAUAACACAGCGAAAGUUGUACUAAUACCGCAUGAGACCACAGCGGGACAUCCCGCAGGGGUCAAAGGAGCAAUCCGGUGAAGGGUGGGCUCGCGUCCGAUUAGAUAGUUGGUGAGGUAACGGCCCACCAAGUCGACGAUCGGUAGCCGACCUGAGAGGGUGAUCGGCCACAUUUGGGACUGAGACACGGCCCAAACUCCUACGGGAGGCAGCAGUGGGGAAUAUUGGGCAAUGGGGGGAACCCUGAACCCCCAGCAACGCCGCGUGAGGGAAGAAGGUUUUCGGAUCGUAAACCUCUGUCCUUGGUGAAGAGUGAGAGACGGUAGCCAAGGAGGAAGCCCCGGCUAACUACGUGCCAGCAGCUGC